Molecule: ribosomal RNA, 429 nt
Filed under: Acidobacteriota bacterium
Lineage: Bacteria; Pseudomonadati; Acidobacteriota
Description: Acidobacteria bacterium partial 16S ribosomal RNA
Rfam family: Bacterial small subunit ribosomal RNA
Source: RNAcentral
UAGGGAAUCUUCCGCAAUGGACGAAAGUCUGACGGAGCAACGCCGCGUGAGUGAUGAAGGUUUUCGGAUCGUAAAACUCUGUUGUUAGGGAAGAACAAGUAUCGGAGUAACUGCCGGUACCUUGACGGUACCUAACCAGAAAGCCACGGCUAACUACGUGCCAGCAGCCGCGGUAAUACGUAGGUGGCAAGCGUUGUCCGGAAUUAUUGGGCGUAAAGCGCGCGCAGGUGGUUCUUUAAGUCUGAUGUGAAAGCCCACGGCUCAACCGUGGAGGGUCAUUGGAAACUGGGGAACUUGAGUGCAGAAGAGGAAAGUGGAAUUCCAAGUGUAGCGGUGAAAUGCGUAGAGAUUUGGAGGAACACCAGGGGCGAAGGCGACUUUCUGGUCUGUAACUGACACUGAGGCGCGAAAGCGUGGGGAGCGAACAGG